RNAcentral lists this ribosomal RNA (253 nucleotides) under uncultured bacterium. RNAcentral describes it as "partial 16S ribosomal RNA". It matches the Rfam family "Bacterial small subunit ribosomal RNA", at positions 524 to 776 of the family's 1533-position model. The record is from RNAcentral.
UACGGGGGGGGCAAGCGUUGUUCGGAAUUACUGGGCGUAAAGGGCUCGUAGGUGGCCAACUAAGUCAGACGUGAAAUCCCUCAGCUUAACUGGGGAACUGCGUCUGAUACUGGAUGGCUUGAGUUUGGGAGAGGGAUGCGGAAUUCCAGGUGUAGCGGUGAAAUGCGUAGAUAUCAGGAGGAACACCUGUGGCGAAGGCGGUGCUCUGGGCCGGAACUGACGCUGAGGAGCGAAAGCGUGGGGAGCAAACAGG